RNAcentral lists this long non-coding RNA (264 nucleotides) under Homo sapiens (human). RNAcentral describes it as "non-protein coding lnc-RPP30-1:1". Lineage: Eukaryota; Metazoa; Chordata; Mammalia; Primates; Hominidae. The record is from RNAcentral.
GCCUAAUGAGCCAGCGGAUGUUUGGGCUCAUUGCGAAAUGAAGAACCUAGAGGGGGAUUUUAUUUUUCUUAAUUAAACAACAACCAAAAAAACGUCUCUGAGCACUACACUAAGCAACAAAUAGGCCCUAGCGGAUUAUAAAUAAGAAGAAAAGGAAUAAAAACCUCAAAGUAUAUUGAUCAGAGUGCUGAAUAGUACUUUCAUUCUUCAAGUUUUCUGGUGUUUAAAAGCCAUAUCAAGGUGUUGCUUCCUUCUUCCCUCCCG